AUAUUGUACAUUGGGCGAAAGCCUGAUCCAGCCAUGCCGCGUGUGUGAAGAAGGUNUUNNGAUUUNANAGCACUUUAAGUUGGNNNNNAGGGUUGUAGGUUAAUACCCUGCAAUUUUGACGUUACCAACAGAAUAAGCACCGGCUAACUCCGUUCCAGCAUCCGCGUUAAUACGAAGGGUGCAAGCGUUAAUCGGAAUUACUGGGCGUAAAGCGCGCGUAGGUGGUUCGUUAAGUUGGAAGUGAAAGCCCCGGGCUUAACCUGGGAAUUGCUUUCAAAACUGACGAGCUAGAGUACGGUAGAGGGUAGUGGAAUUUCCUGUGUAGCGGUGAAAUGCGUAGAUAUAGGAAGGAACAUCAGUGGCGAAGGCGACUACCUGGACUGAUACUGACACUGAGGUGCGAAAGCGUGGGGAGCAAACAGG
RNAcentral lists this ribosomal RNA (423 nucleotides) under uncultured bacterium. Its description in RNAcentral is "partial 16S ribosomal RNA". It matches the Rfam family "Bacterial small subunit ribosomal RNA", at positions 361 to 776 of the family's 1533-position model. The record is from RNAcentral.